Molecule: transfer RNA, 81 nt
Filed under: Deltaproteobacteria bacterium
Lineage: Bacteria; Pseudomonadati; Myxococcota; Myxococcia
Description: tRNA-Phe
Rfam family: tRNA (bases 11-78)
About the family: Transfer RNA (tRNA) molecules are approximately 80 nucleotides in length.
Source: RNAcentral
GGCCGCCUUCGACCCGCGCANNGGUAGAGCAGAGGACUGAAAAUCCUCGUGUCCCCAGUUCAAUUCUGGGAGGGGCCACCA